UUAAGCGACUAAGCGUACACGGUGGAUGCCCUGGCAGUCAGAGGCGAUGAAGGACGUGCUAAUCUGCGAUAAGCGUCGGUAAGGUGAUAUGAACCGUUAUAACCGGCGAUUUCCGAAUGGGGAAACCCAGUGUGUUUCGACACACUAUCAUUAACUGAAUCCAUAGGUUAAUGAGGCGAACCGGGGGAACUGAAACAUCUAAGUACCCCGAGGAAAAGAAAUCAACCGAGAUUCCCCCAGUAGCGGCGAGCGAACGGGGAGCAGCCCAGAGCCUGAAUCAGUGUGUGUGUUAGUGGAAGCGUCUGGAAAGGCGCGCGAUACAGGGUGACAGCCCCGUACACAAAAAUGCACAUGCUGUGAGCUCGAUGAGUAGGGCGGGACACGUGGUAUCCUGUCUGAAUAUGGGGGGACCAUCCUCCAAGGCUAAAUACUCCUGACUGACCGAUAGUGAACCAGUACCGUGAGGGAAAGGCGAAAAGAACCCCGGCGAGGGGAGUGAAAAAGAACCUGAAACCGUGUACGUACAAGCAGUGGGAGCACGCUUAGGCGUGUGACUGCGUACCUUUUGUAUAAUGGGUCAGCGACUUAUAUUCUGUAGCAAGGUUAACCGAAUAGGGGAGCCGAAGGGAAACCGAGUCUUAACUGGGCGUUAAGUUGCAGGGUAUAGACCCGAAACCCGGUGAUCUAGCCAUGGGCAGGUUGAAGGUUGGGUAACACUAACUGGAGGACCGAACCGACUAAUGUUGAAAAAUUAGCGGAUGACUUGUGGCUGGGGGUGAAAGGCCAAUCAAACCGGGAGAUAGCUGGUUCUCCCCGAAAGCUAUUUAGGUAGCGCCUCGUGAAUUCAUCUCCGGGGGUAGAGCACUGUUUCGGCAAGGGGGUCAUCCCGACUUACCAACCCGAUGCAAACUGCGAAUACCGGAGAAUGUUAUCACGGGAGACACAUGGCGGGUGCUAACGUCCGUCGUGAAGAGGGAAACAACCCAGACCGCCAGCUAAGGUCCCAAAGUCAUGGUUAAGUGGGAAACGAUGUGGGAAGGCCCAGACAGCCAGGAUGUUGGCUUAGAAGCAGCCAUCAUUUAAAGAAAGCGUAAUAGCUCACUGGUCGAGUCGGCCUGCGCGGAAGAUGUAACGGGGCUAAACCAUGCACCGAAGCUGCGGCAGCGACACUAUGUGUUGUUGGGUAGGGGAGCGUUCUGUAAGCCUGUGAAGGUGUGCUGUGAGGCAUGCUGGAGGUAUCAGAAGUGCGAAUGCUGACAUAAGUAACGAUAAAGCGGGUGAAAAGCCCGCUCGCCGGAAGACCAAGGGUUCCUGUCCAACGUUAAUCGGGGCAGGGUGAGUCGACCCCUAAGGCGAGGCCGAAAGGCGUAGUCGAUGGGAAACAGGUUAAUAUUCCUGUACUUGGUGUUACUGCGAAGGGGGGACGGAGAAGGCUAUGUUGGCCGGGCGACGGUUGUCCCGGUUUAAGCGUGUAGGCUGGUUUUCCAGGCAAAUCCGGAAAAUCAAGGCUGAGGCGUGAUGACGAGGCACUACGGUGCUGAAGCAACAAAUGCCCUGCUUCCAGGAAAAGCCUCUAAGCAUCAGGUAACAUCAAAUCGUACCCCAAACCGACACAGGUGGUCAGGUAGAGAAUACCAAGGCGCUUGAGAGAACUCGGGUGAAGGAACUAGGCAAAAUGGUGCCGUAACUUCGGGAGAAGGCACGCUGAUAUGUAGGUGAAGUCCCUUGCGGAUGGAGCUGAAAUCAGUCGAAGAUACCAGCUGGCUGCAACUGUUUAUUAAAAACACAGCACUGUGCAAACACGAAAGCUGGACGUAUACGGUGUGACGCCUGCCCGGUGCCGGAAGGUUAAUUGAUGGGGUUAGCCGCAAGGCGAAGCUCUUGAUCGAAGCCCCGGUAAACGGCGGCCGUAACUAUAACGGUCCUAAGGUAGCGAAAUUCCUUGUCGGGUAAGUUCCGACCUGCACGAAUGGCGUAAUGAUGGCCAGGCUGUCUCCACCCGAGACUCAGUGAAAUUGAACUCGCUGUGAAGAUGCAGUGUACCCGCGGCAAGACGGAAAGACCCCGUGAACCUUUACUAUAGCUUGACACUGAACAUUGAGCCUUGAUGUGUAGGAUAGGUGGGAGGCUUUGAAGUGUGGACGCCAGUCUGCAUGGAGCCGACCUUGAAAUACCACCCUUUAAUGUUUGAUGUUCUAACGUUGACCCGUAAUCCGGGUUGCGGACAGUGUCUGGUGGGUAGUUUGACUGGGGCGGUCUCCUCCUAAAGAGUAACGGAGGAGCACGAAGGUUGGCUAAUCCUGGUCGGACAUCAGGAGGUUAGUGCAAUGGCAUAAGCCAGCUUGACUGCGAGCGUGACGGCGCGAGCAGGUGCGAAAGCAGGUCAUAGUGAUCCGGUGGUUCUGAGUGGAAGGGCCAUCGCUCAACGGAUAAAAGGUACUCCGGGGAUAACAGGCUGAUACCGCCCAAGAGUUCAUAUCGACGGCGGUGUUUGGCACCUCGAUGUCGGCUCAUCACAUCCUGGGGCUGAAGUAGGUCCCAAGGGUAUGGCUGUUCGCCAUUUAAAGUGGUACGCGAGCUGGGUUUAGAACGUCGUGAGACAGUUCGGUCCCUAUCUGCCGUGGGCGCUGGAGAACUGAGGGGGGCUGCUCCUAGUACGAGAGGACCGGAGUGGACGCAUCACUGGUGUUCGGGUUGUCAUGCCAAUGGCACUGCCCGGUAGCUAAAUGCGGAAGAGAUAAGUGCUGAAAGCAUCUAAGCACGAAACUUGCCCCGAGAUGAGUUCUCCCUGACUCCUUGAGAGUCCUGAAGGAACGUUGAAGACGACGACGUUGAUAGGCCGGGUGUGUAAGCGCAGCGAUGCGUUGAGCUAACCGGUACUAAUGAACCGUGAGGCUUAACCUU
This 2904-nucleotide ribosomal RNA is filed under the name Escherichia coli DEC6D. Its description in RNAcentral is "bacterial LSU rRNA". It matches the Rfam family "Bacterial large subunit ribosomal RNA". Lineage: Bacteria; Pseudomonadati; Pseudomonadota; Gammaproteobacteria; Enterobacterales; Enterobacteriaceae. The record is from RNAcentral.